UACGUAGGGUGCAAGCGUUGUUCGGAAUUACUGGGCGUAAAGCGCACGUAGGCGGCUUUGUAAGUUAGAGGUGAAAGCCCGGGGCUCAACUCCGGAAUUGCCUUUAAGACUGCAUCGCUAGAAUUGUGGAGAGGUAAGUGGAAUUCCGAGUGUAGAGGUGAAAUUCGUAGAUAUUCGGAAGAACACCAGUGGCGAAGGCGACUUACUGGACACAUAUUGACGCUGAGGUGCGAAAGCGUGGGGAGCAAACAGG
Molecule: ribosomal RNA, 253 nt
Filed under: uncultured bacterium
Lineage: Bacteria
Description: partial 16S ribosomal RNA
Rfam family: Bacterial small subunit ribosomal RNA
Source: RNAcentral